This 380-nucleotide unclassified non-coding RNA is filed under the name uncultured Paracoccaceae bacterium. Its description in RNAcentral is "uncultured Rhodobacteraceae bacterium contains 16S-23S intergenic spacer region". Lineage: Bacteria; Pseudomonadati; Pseudomonadota; Alphaproteobacteria; Rhodobacterales; Paracoccaceae. The record is from RNAcentral.
UCUCGGCUUAUCACGGGCAGUUCCCCUAAAGUGCCCAGCUUGACCUGCUGGCAACCAAGGGUGUGGGUUGCGCUCGUUGCCGGACUUAACCGAACAUCUCACGACACGAGCUGACGACAGCCAUGCAGCACCUGUCUCCCUGCCCCUUGCGGGGAAACCGGCUCUCACCGGCGGUCAGGGGAUGUCAAGGGUUGGUAAGGUUCUGCGCGUUGCUUCGAAUUAAACCACAUCCUCCACCGCUUGUGUGAGCCCCCGUCAAUUCCUUUGAGUUUUAAUCUUGCGACCGUACUUCCCAGGCGGGACACUUAAUGCGUUAGCGGCGGCACCGAGGGAGUGGAUACCCCCGACACCUAGUGCCCAUCGUUUACGGCGUGGACUAC